CUUGAAUUUCAUAAGAGGUCCAGCCUGCCCAGUGACACAAUUAAACGGCCGCGGUACCCUGACCGUGCGAAGGUAGCAUAAUCACUUGUUCUCUAAAUAAGGACUUGUAUCAACGGCAUCACGAGGGUUAUACUGUCUCCUCUUUUUAAUCAGUGAAACUGACUUUCCCGUGAAGAGGCGGGAAUAAAGAUACAAGACGAGAAGACCCCAUGGAGCUUUAAACCCAAUAGUAACCUCUAUUUACUACUACUACUUAAUCAAGAGGGUUUAUCUACUGGUUUUAGGUUGGGGUGACCCUGGAGUAAAACUUAACCUCCAUGAUGAAUAGAAUUUAUUCUAAUCCCAGAGCCACUGCUCUACGAAUCAAAAUUUGACAUAAACUGAUCCGCCUACCGAUCAACGAACCA
This 407-nucleotide ribosomal RNA is filed under the name Limnonectes nitidus. RNAcentral describes it as "partial 16S ribosomal RNA". It matches the Rfam family "Bacterial large subunit ribosomal RNA", at positions 1822 to 2459 of the family's 2925-position model. Lineage: Eukaryota; Metazoa; Chordata; Amphibia; Anura; Dicroglossidae. The record is from RNAcentral.